AUAAAGUUUAAUUUUAGUUUAAAAAUUUAUUAGAUUUUUUAUUUACAUGUAAAUUUUAGUAUGUUAGUAAGAUUAGUUUAAAUAAUUAAUUUUAAUAUAUUUUAUUCGCAGUAUUAAGAUUUAUAAAUUUAAGAAAUUAAGAAAUAUAAAAAAAUUGUAAAUAUUGACAAAAUUUGUGCCAGCAGUUGCGGUUAUACGAAAAAUGUAAAUAAAUUUUAUUGAUUGGUAAUAAAAAUGUUUUAUUUUAAUUAAAGUUAAGUUUAUAAGGUGAAAUUUAAAAUUUAAUUAAAUUAUUAUUAAAGUUAUUUGAUUUUAUUAAAUUUAAAUUUUAAACUAGGAUUAGAUACCCUAUUAUUUUAAAUGUAAAAAAAUUUCAUUUAAUUAGUAUUAGUUAUGAUCUUGAAAUUUAAAAAUUUUGGCGGUAUUUUAGUCUAUUCAGAGGAACCUGUUCUGUAAUUGAUAAUCCACGAUAAAUUUUACUUUAUUAAUUAAUUUGUAUAUCGUCGUUAUUAAGUAUUUUAUAAGAAUAAGAAUGUUUAGUUUUUUAUAUAAAAAAAUAUAUCAGAUCAAGGUGCAGUAUAUAUUAAAGAAGAAAUGGGUUACAAUAAAUUUAUUUAAAUGAAUAAAAAUAUAAAAAUUUUUUUGAAAGUGGAUUUGAGAGUAAUAAUAUUAAGAUUAAUUUUAUGAUUUAAGCUCUAAAAUGUGUACAUAUCGCCCGUCGCUCUUAUUAUAAGAUAAGAUAAGUCGUAACAAAGUAGAUGUACUGGAAAGUGUAUCUAGAAUGA
This 785-nucleotide non-coding RNA is filed under the name Nebrioporus cooperi. The record is from RNAcentral. Lineage: Eukaryota; Metazoa; Arthropoda; Insecta; Coleoptera; Dytiscidae.